This is an RNA transcript of Zea mays, 3540 nucleotides long. RefSeq lists it as uncharacterized. The transcript has 9 exons. NCBI's taxonomy places the organism in Eukaryota, Viridiplantae, Streptophyta, Magnoliopsida, Poales, Poaceae. The record is from RefSeq and is marked provisional.
UUGCGAACAAUAUUUAAAAUACUAAAAUACAUGAAAAGAGAGUCCACGAUUUCAGUGCACCUCACGACGUCACGCGUGCACCUGUACAGCGCGCGCACGCCGACACCGAACGAAUAUCGGGGCCCUUGUACACUUCUACGCUUGGAUGCCUGAGAAUCUCCAGGUUCAGACCCGUUCAGUUCACAGACACCGUUCAGCCGUUGCGGCGUUGCCGUUGCAGCAGCCAGCAGCGCUCGCCAGUGGACGACCAGCGCGCCGCGCGCAGGUCGCAGGUCAGUGCGACCCGUGGCCCGUGGGGUCGAUCGGCCCUUGUCUCUGUUUCAUCACUGCCGUAGUGCCGUGCUCGUGCUCGUGCUCGCGAGGUACCUCGCUCUCUCCUGACUUCCCGCGUCGGCGUCGCCGGCCUCCUCGUAUAAGAACCGACAUCCGACACGCCGCCUUCGCACUCGUCAACCUCUCCGCUUUGCCUCCCUCCCUCGCGUCCGCGUUCCCUCCCGCCUCCAGAUCUCGAUGCGGCAGCGGCUCCCCUGACAGCGGAGGCGACGCCGGCACCAUGUCCUCCUGCGACGACGACCACGCCUCGCUCCUCAGAUCCCACGCUGGGGCCUCGUCGCCGUCCUGCCCCUCGCCGCGCGGUUCGGCGGGACAUCAGCACCACGCCGACGUCGAGGCGGACGAGGCCACCGUCACCGCCUCCCCGAGGCUCGCCAGCGGCGGCGGGGGUGUGCGCGGUCUCCUGCGCAACCUCGAGCGCCGCAUGUCCGCACGCGGAUCUGGGCCUGGGCGUCGCCAGCACCAGCAUUAUCAGCAGCUCGAUCGCUCCGUGGCGAUCGAGUCGCCGCCGUCUCAGCGGCAGCGGGAGAGAGCGGCGGCGGGGGAUGACGACGAGCUCGGGGACGGGGCGCCGCCCGAGUGGGCGCUGCUGCUCAUCGGCUGCCUCCUCGGGCUCGCCACCGGCAUCUGCGUCGCCGCGUUUAACCGCGGGGUUCAUGUCAUCCAUGAAUGGGCAUGGGCAGGGACUCCCAACGAAGGUGCAGCAUGGCUCCGCCUGCAGAAGAUAGCUGAUACUUGGCACAGGAUACUGCUGAUCCCGGUGACUGGGGGUGUGGUUGUAGGAAUGAUGCAUGGGUUGCUCGAUAUAUUUGAGCAGCUAAAACUUGUGAAAUCAGGGCAGAGGCAAGGAAUCAACUUUGUUGGAGCCAUCUUCCCAACCAUAAAGGCUGUCCAAGCUGCUGUUACCCUAGGGACUGGCUGUUCCCUGGGACCUGAAGGUCCUAGUGUGGAUAUUGGCAAAUCGUGUGCAAAUGCAUGCUCAGAAAUGAUGGAGAGUAACCGGGAAAGGCGUAUUGCACUUGUUGCUGCUGGCGCUGCUGCUGGCAUUGCUUCAGGCUUCAAUGCAGCAGUUGCUGGGUGCUUCUUUGCCAUUGAAACUGUAUUAAGGCCUCUUAAAGCAGAAAAUUCACCUCCAUUUACGACUGCAAUGAUAAUAUUGGCAUCUGUUAUAUCAUCUACUGUUUCAAAUGUUUUACUUGGAGCCAGACCAGCUUUUAUAGUGCCAGCAUAUGAGCUCAAAUCUGCUGCCGAGCUACCAUUGUACCUUAUCUUAGGAAUGCUAUGUGGAGCGGUCAGUGUGGUAUUUGAUAGAUUGGUUGGAUGGUUUUCAAGAUUCUUUGGGCACAUAAAGGAAAAGUUUGAUUUUCCUAUAAUAGUGUACCCUGCUUUAGGUGGGCUGGGAGCUGGUAUCAUAGCUCUGAAAUAUCCAGGGAUCUUAUACUGGGGUUUCACAAAUGUUGAAGAAAUAUUGCAUACCGGUAAAAGUGCUUCUGCUCCUGGUAUCUGGUUGUUAACUCAACUGGCGGCUGCAAAGGUAGUUGCAACUGCUCUCUGCAAGGGCUCUGGGCUUGUGGGAGGACUAUAUGCUCCAAGCCUGAUGAUUGGGGCUGCUGUUGGAGCUGUUUUUGGGGGUUCAGCUGCUUAUUUAAUAAAUUCAGCUUUACCUGGUAAUGCUGCUGUUGCACAGCCACAAGCUUAUGCUCUGGUUGGAAUGGCUGCUACACUAGCUUCAGUCUGUUCAGUCCCAUUGACUUCAGUACUGCUUCUCUUUGAACUGACAAAGGAUUACAGGAUUUUGCUUCCGCUCAUGGGAGCAGUUGGGUUGGCAAUAUGGGUUCCUUCAGUAGUAAACCAGCCAAACGACAGUGAGCCUUCUGGGUUUAGAACAUCCAGACGAGGUUAUUCUUCAAUGUCACCAGAAGAAAGAAAUGGCAGCUUAAGGCAAGGUGAUGUUGUGGAUGAUCUUGAGCUCAGUAUUAUACAAACUGACAUGAGUAACUAUGGAACUUAUAAUGCAGAAAUGCUUCUGGAUGAUUUGAAGGUCUUCCAGGCCAUGUCAAAGAUAUAUCUCAAAGUGUUACCAUCUGCUACAGUAACAGAAGUUCUUAAUCUGUUGCAUGAUAGACAGCAAAAUUGUGCCCUGGUUGUGGACCCUGAAGAUUUUCUUGAAGGAAUAAUUACAUUAGGGGAUAUACGGCGCAUGGGAUAUGGGUUACAUGUGGAAAGUUUCAUCAAUGGAGAUCACCCCAAGGCUGACGUACGUUUAUAUGUAUCGUGGGAGCGAACGUGGAUUGUUAACAUGCUUUCCAGAUACUGAUUUGACCACUGCAAAGAGUCUUAUGGAGGCCAGAGGGAUAAAGCAACUGCCUGUAGUUAAGCGUGGUGUUGCCCAUAGAACUGCAGGAAAGCGCAGGCCGAUUGCCCUUCUACAUUAUGAUUCUAUUGGUUGCUGCGUGCGGGAGGAAAUAGAGAACUGGAAGACCAUAUAUCAGAGACUGGCUUGUUAAUAAUAUGAAACUACUUGGACGAUAUGAUUAUUCGUUUGAUUGCCGAGGGAGAAUAUUGUGAACUGAAGGUCAUGUAUCAGCGAAAAGCAGGCUUUCCUCUUGUAGCAAUUGUGCACUGAAAAACUACAGUGCCCUUAUGACACCACAACAGUAAGCAAGACUACAGGACAUCUAUGCGAAAUGCAGCUAGCCAGCUACACUGAUGUAGAGAUCAUUCAGGCAGUUUAACCUCUAUACUGUAUCAUUUUGAUUUCACGGUGAUCUGCAGGGGCAAGCCUGAUAAAUUCUGCAAAGACCUCCCAUUACUGCAAGUUUCAUGUGGCAUCCCUGCUCGUACCACUUAUUUGUUCUUGUUACGACCUGGACUUGUACUUUACGCGGGAUAGGAACGAAGUACAGACCUAGUGUAAGAAGGCGGUACUUUUUACCCUCGUACUGCUUGUAAAUUGUAAUGUGUAGCAUAUAUUAGAGCAUGAUAACUUCUGCUGCAUAUAUUCGUCAGUGUGAUCACUCAAGGAAUUUGUGCAGCAGAAUUUUGUCAUGUCGAUGUUGUAAGUUGAAGGAUCACAUUGCUUGUAAAAUUUGGCAGCAUGUUGUCUUAUCCUCGGAUGAGUAUGUUGUUGUAGAAACUUGCAUUUGGCCUUUGCUCUGCACACUCUUGUAUGUUGUGACGUAUUCAAUCCGUUCUGAUUUAUUGAUC